CAGCCGCCGCGGUAAAACGUAGGUGGCAAGCGUUGUCCGGAAUUAUUGGGCGUAAAGGGCUCGCAGGCGGUUUCUUAAGCCUGAUGUGAAAGCCCCCGGCUCAACCGGGGAGGGUCAUUGGAAACUGGGAAACUUGAGUGCAGAAAAGGAGAGUGGAAUUCCACGUGUAGCGGUGAAAUGCGUAGAGAUGUGGAGGAACACCAGUGGCGAAGGCGACUCUCUGGUCUGUAACUGACGCUGAGGAGCGAAAGCGUGGGGAGCGAACAGGAUUAGAUACCCCAGUAGUCCCUGUCUCUUAUAC
RNAcentral lists this ribosomal RNA (301 nucleotides) under uncultured bacterium. Its description in RNAcentral is "partial 16S ribosomal RNA". It matches the Rfam family "Bacterial small subunit ribosomal RNA", at positions 509 to 807 of the family's 1533-position model. The record is from RNAcentral.